Molecule: long non-coding RNA, 29287 nt
Organism: Gasterosteus aculeatus aculeatus (three-spined stickleback)
Lineage: Eukaryota; Metazoa; Chordata; Actinopteri; Perciformes; Gasterosteidae
Source: Ensembl
GGGCGGCCGAGGAAGCCACCGAGCUCCAACCAGAGUCCGUCAGAGCGACUUAUCUUUCGCCGCCUUUAUUAGUCUCUCAUAUCUUGGCCUGCACCUGUCUUUGAAGGUCCAGGAGUUUGGGUAGCCCCCCCCCCCCACUCACCUUAACUCCCCUCCCUCCUCUCCAGACUCCCCUCAUCUCGUGAGGACUGAGGCCCGGGGAUCCCCAUUCAUGGAGGAUGAUCGACACAGCAGUACCUAGAAGAAAAGGCAGCUGUGAUGAGAGAGAGAGGAGAGCGGACCCAUGUCCCCUUUGUGCUUCUAACCACCUCCUCUCUUGUCUUCCCCGGCUGUGUCCACACAAUAGAGCCUUAACAGGAGCUGUCAGCGUGCAACACUAGUGUGACCACCGUGGGCACCGGGGGGUUAGCCGGGAUUGCAUUAGCCCCGUGUUUGUAUGGCACUGAAAGCCAGACGGCUACAGUUAAACCAAGUUUUGUAGUGCGUUGUAAAGACGGCUUUCAGCGCCUUGUUUACCCGCACUGCACUCCAAAGGGACGGAGAGAGCGGCACGUUGAUGAAACGCUGGGGUUUUAAAAUGCUUGAAAAACAACAAAAAAGAAAUAGGUGUUCAGUGUGGGGGGGGGGGGGGGGGGGAGGGGGGCUCCACUUUGCACCUGAGGUUUGAUCAAUAAAGUCAAGUGAUGACACGUCAAUUUGCAGACGCGGUGAGGCCAUGAAUGGCGGCGCUGAGAGAUGGCGGCAGGUGAAUUGUUCCGACAGCGGAUACAGUGUAUCAACGUGCUGCUGUUAAGUGUGCGUUUAUCCCCCCCCGCUGCCACUCAGUCAGUGUUUUCUUACAUUCGGACCUGUAUUUAACCAGCGCUCGUGACAGCGAUUGUCUUUUGCCAUCCCCUAUUGUGCUUUUGCUGUCGUGACGAUGUAAUGUUUAUGAGUUAGUGCAGUGCACACACGGCCACAGGCCAGCUGCAGCCAUUGCUAGAUGCUUGAUACAUGUAAUUAAAACACAAAAGCACAUGAGAGCUUGAGGUUGCGGAUACAAAAGGUGGUGGGCUGGUUUGAUCAGAUACGGUUGAAUCGCUUGGUGAUUUUAAUUGUUACAAAACAAUAACUGGGCAGGUGUCUCAGCAGGAAGGAAUUAGGAGAACACACGUACACGCGAAGGAUAAUCACAAAAGAGAGACCACCUUGGUUGCUCCGGUUCUAGCUGAACUUUGGGAUUUGGCUUAUCGUUUCUUUAAAGGGGACAUCAUUCGAGUCAUUUAAAUUCAUAAAAAGUGACAAAUGCCACUCGUGCAUGUAAAACAUGAAUUCAAAAAUCCAAUUCCAUUUUUCUGAGAUUUAAGUGUUGUUCCCUCACCAUUAGAUGGCAGUGAUGCAUAGCACAGCCCUUUGAUCUCCUGGAAGGAGAUCUGCUCAUUUCUGCCUAAAAAGGCAGAUAAAAUGUUUGCCUAAUCAUUGGUGUGUUUGAACCAGUGAGUCAGCACUAUUCUAAAUAUAUGUCAAUCUCUCUGCCUGCUCCUAAUAUUCAUAAAAAGCUUUUGAAGUCUCACCUGAUAAUCACAGCGCAUGUGUCCUCUUUUGAUCCUCACCUGUGAUUUUCGACACGGAGGAUCAAACAGAGGACUUCAGGCAGGGUUACUGUAAGCGUAGGAUCAGAUCGCACAUUCCGAAGCCGCCAAUAAACAAACAAACAAGUCAUCGGAAACACAUUUGACGGAGAGAAUAACUGCCGUAGCCAAUUGCACGGCCUGUGGUCUGGCUUUUAUCAACACAGAUCAGCAGGGGCCUUUGGUCUGCAGUGCACACGUGGAUCAAACCAGUGUUAUCUGCAGGUAUUACUUGCUGUGUUUGUGUUAUCUAAGCUUCCAGGGGGCUUUAUCGCUGCGAACAGUGAGGCCAGGUGCCCCUAUUUAUUCAAGAUUAGGAUUAUUUGGAUGUUUAAAUAAGAGUCUACAGUUUGACUCACUCACAGGGCUCUGAAAUUUGUUUUCAACAAAUGCACAUAACCACACAGCCAUUUCUCCAGCGAGCUCUUGAGGUGACCUUUAGGGUCUUGCUGGGGGAAAGUAGAUAGUUCUCAGCAGAUUGUAACUUCUUAUUGUAGUAAAAAUAUUAGGAUGUUAAAAAAAUAACAUCCACACAAACUUGUUGAUUCUACAUUUUGUGUAAAAUUGAACCAAUGAAAUUAAGAAAUAUAGCAUAUAAACUGAAUAUAAAAAAUUGUUAUUGUUGAGUAUUAAAGUAUAAAAAUGCACGCUUACGCUAGAAUUAAAUUACACUUGAACUAUAAAUGCAUAGUAAUAAUGGGUGAAGACCGUUUAAAGGCCGGAUUGCACGAUCAACGCGUAUUUCAAGUCACACCACCAGCACACGAACAUGUUGCAGAAAGAUGCACCACUAUCUGGGUCAAAUGCAGUUCAACAGGAACCACGUGUUUUAAGAAUAGCAUGUCCAGACCUAGAACUAUGCCAAUCGCCUAUAUGCAAAUCAUCUGGCAAACAUCCUGAUAUGUAGAACUCAUGAACAACGGAGGCGUGUUGAUCCGAGAGCCUAGAGGGAUGGACAUCCCUGUGCUCCAAUGGGGCUCUCCGAGGGUUCUAAGCAGGAGCCGCCUCCGUCUUAAUAACCAUAUAACCAAAUAAUCAAAAAUGCUCUUAGAGACUAUAUAAUACGAGCGCACUUUGUAUUAACCGCCUUUUUUCAUGUUGUUAAACUGCCUGAAAUAGGUCCGUGCACGUAUAACUGCAGCACAGAAUUCUCUUGUUGCAAAUAAGUACUUGUUUUGCUCGAACGACAUUAUCAUUUCAUCUUGUUACAAAUGCUCUAAUGGACGUUUUUCACUCCCCUGAGCUCUACAGGGGAUUUUUGCAUUGCAUUAUUUGGGAUGUAUGGCCUGCAACUUCAAUGUUUUGCUUCAGCUGCUGCAGACCGGUGUUCUCAAGGAAUUAUCUGUGAUAAACGCGUUACCAACAAAGCACCAAACAGCAAACAAACAAGGUUAGCAACGAGAUAGUGGAGCAUGUAGCAGCCACAGAGACAUAUACUUUCAUUUAGUGGGUAGACUCUGAAAACUAAAAGAGCUAAAAGGUGGAUGAGUAUUACAUUUACCUGCAUGAUCUGUUUUCUUGCCCCAGUGGCUCUAAAAGGCCCAGGUAUUUUUUUAAAUGCACCUGCAUUUACCUUUAACAUAUUAAAAGGGCGCCCACUAACGAAAACUGCACAGCAACUUUGUUUUUUCAACGUGGGUACUGUUGUACUGGUGAUUUGUACUCUGAAUUAAAAUUAUGAAAUUACAUGUCGGACUAAACAAUAUUUCCAAUAAAAAUCCAGCUCCAAAAACAAUAACUUGUGUUUUAACCUCCACUAAAUCUGCUUACCGCAAAAGCAAUCUGUUCUCAAUCUGCCGAGCAGUUUAUGACGUAAAUUCAUGUUUAUUUCUCAUCCAUAUUCUCCUCAACUGCCAGGCAACCAGACAGACAGUGAGUGACGGACGGACGGCCACGUGGUCAGAGGGCGAGAUGGGAGAGCAGCGACUGACAUCCAUCCAGCCCCGUUUGAGCCACAUGUCCCCGUCAUUCCCUCUCAGCCUCUCAGCUCAGAAAAAGCCUUGCGCGUGUCUCUGCACGCCGUGAGCCGCCGAACGCCGUGGUUCUCCUCCCCGUGCGCGGGGCUCUGAACCUAAACCCUUUGGCCAAGUGCAAGAGAGGCAUUAGGGCCCAUGUCAAAACAGCUUACAGCCAAGCAGCGUGCUUCUAAAAGGCCUGGGCCCAUUCAUGGAGUCAUUCAAAGUGACAGCCCCGUGAGCCCACUGCUCUCCGACAAACCCCGUGCGACGGAGAAGGGGAGGGCUGGUGCUCGGCUAAUGUCAGCGAGCGCGGCAUCGCUCUUUGUUAAUGUUGGAAGCCGAGGCCCGGGUUUCCCUUUCAAGAGAAAAGGUCAGCAGCAGCCUGCGGGGAGCGCGCACGUGCAUGAAGUGGGACAGGUACCGACCAAGCUCAUUGUUUCAUUGAACCUGUUUACAUCUGAGCUGAGUCACUGGCCUUGGAGGAACCAGCCACUUGCCACAUCGUCUAUCCGCCAACAAAGGGUUAAACUAAGAGCGGGAAGGGAUAAUCGCUGCGGUCACGUGGGCAACCUUUCUUUUUGCCAAAAAUGCUGUUGGUUGACAUCAAACUGUACACAAAGUCCUUUGAGACAGAACCAACAAACCGUCCAGCGUUGGACGCUUCUGUGCCAAUGUGACUCACGGCAACCGUUAACUGCAGCUUCCGUAAACGGAGCACAGGCCUGUCCUGGUUAAAAGCUGUGACGUGCACGAAUGCUGUAUCACAUUCCUGCUAGUUGAGCUUGUAUUUAUUGUCAAACAAACCGAGUAGUUACCAUAUUGCACCUGCAUCAAGUACGCCGCUAAACCUCCAGUUUGUAGCAUUAGCUUUUGGUGGGCGUUUACAUCACAAAAGAAAUAAUACCAAAUUAAAUUAUUCAUUAGCAACAUUACUCUUAGAUUUGUUAUGAAACAAAUUGCUAAUCAAUACAUCUUGAUAAAAUUUGUCAGUAAAACUGUACAUAUUGUGUUAAGGCGUGAAUAAAAUAUCAACCCCUCACUUAAUAGCCAAGCAGGCUAACCUGCUAAAAACGUUUUGAAGCAGACGAAGGGUCAUAAUAACAUUUUGAAAGUGUCUUCCAAAAAUAUGGCUACUUAAAAGCAAAAGGGAAGGAGAAGCUGUGAAUAAUUAUUUGCGAUCCUUUUCGAUUGUGCUCAUGGACGUUUUCAGCGUUUCUUCCAGUCGUCAGUCAGUCAAUGUUUCCUGAUUCACAGUAACCUGUGCCUUUGACCCCUUGCCCUGUUUGGCUGUUUGUAAUGUUGCUAAACAAGGCGUUGAAGGUUCCUCUACCCGUCACUUUAGAUGAACGGAACAGGACACAAAGGCACCUGACGAGUAAGUUUCAGUGUGACAUUACUGGUAUGUGUACGGCAGCAAGGAUCCAAUAUCACUCUCUGCUGAGCAAGAGACAGAUUGUCCGGGCAGGCUAAAUAAACGGGAGAUUAAUCUGUCUUCUUGCUGCGAGCUGACAAAGUCAGUCAUGGAUGAAAUCGAGGGUUUUGACAAGUAGUCUUUCAAGAUGAAGCCCUGAUAGCAAGAACCUGAGGUGGGAACCUUGAAAUGACUGCAAACAAAUCACAGAGUCAGCCUGACAUUGCUAUUUUCAUGUAGGUGAGCAUAACAAAGGGAAUGUGUUAGGAAUGCUAGUUUGUAAAUUGGAUUGCGUUCCACCUUUUAUUUCACAAUUCAUUUUAUUCUUGAAAAAGCCAGUUUCAAGCUGCAUUGACAGCCAUGAAAUAGCUUUUAAGCUCAGGUGGGGGGGGCAGCCCACUGUCUUUAUUUACAGCCUCAAAUGUUGCUCAGAUAACAUCUGUGUGAGCCAUUUGACACUUUACCGGAGUAAGAGCUGCAGCAGGUGUCAGGGGAGCCACACAGGCAAGCAGCAGGCUUGUCUUAUCAGACGAGGCCCUGCGCUGUCAACGCAGGGAGUGUUAAGUCUGCCGCAUCACACCGACGUCGUCCAGACACCCGCAGACGGAAAUAAAGAAGGGAGCGAUUGUUGUCUAACUCCUUCCUGUUUAACGACCGCCUGAGAGCUCGCGUGAUUGAAUGUCACAUGCAAAAGAGCGAAAGAAACUGUAAACUACAGAAACAGUAUUUCACUGUUAACAAAAUAGGACUUGACUUAAAAAGAAAAGACGAAAGAAAAUCCCCACAAAAGCAAACAAAGCAUAAACCCUAAGAUUGUGUAGCAAUUACUUGGGAUAUUGUAAGAGAGUUCAUUAUUCAAUUAAAAAAUCUACCACACAUCUUUGUUUUUGAUUUUUUGUCACGGUCAGUAAAUCUAGAAAAUCCUGAUCCCCCCCAAUUCCAAGACCUUCAGUAGGACAGCCAGUAAAGUUCCACUACAAAUACAUGCAUUUCACUUACUAACUGACCCUUUUUGGGAUGACACCCUGUUCCCAAUGUGCAUGACUAAACACACAUGUUCAAGCAACACACACAGAGACAUAGCAGACACAGGUGGAUUUCAGACCUAAUAAUUAUUGUUGAGUAACAUACCAACAAGAAGGAAACUCCUUUCUCAGUCUUACUCCAAAAGCUGAAUUCUACUUGUUAGAAUGAACCAGUAUAUGUUUACUUCCCAUCUGGCAUGCGGUUCUCGCUGUCAUUAGCACACGAGCGUACGCUUUGUUUUGAGGCCUCAACCUCUUGUUUGGACAGCUAUCUGAGGAAGUGUUCUUCAGCUGGACAUCCGAGGGAUCCUCUGCUCGCUUUGUGCUGCUGCCUGGUUUAAACCGGACGGCCUGAGGCUUGAACCACAGCAGCCACAGUGAAGGCGUGUUGAGCGUGAGCACUGUACAGUGGCUGACGAUGUAGUUUAGACUCAAUGUGAUGGUAUUUUUACACAAAAUGAUGUGCAAGUGGCGGGAUCGGGCCGGGGUUGAAGGGAGGACGAGGACGGUGCUCUCAGUGAAACAAGGUUGGAGGUGAUGAACUGUCAAAGUGUCAAAAAGAACAAUGAAGUAAGAUAUUUAUUUAUAAGACACCAUAUUGGCCUUGUCUGCUCUCUGCCUGCGUGACGCACAGCUGACGGGUUCAACAAAAUGACACUGUAGCAAGCAACAUAUUGUAAACUUAGAUGGUGCCAUUUAACAGUUUUAGGCCCAAUUAUUUGAGGUCAAAUUAUGAAAUGUUUCAAUGAAAAAAAAAAACUAUAGAGAAAACAAAUUGUGUAGCGGAUUUGACUUUUUCUUGUUUUGUCCCUGUAAUCAUGUUGCUACCCCUCUGUGGAGGGACCCGACACCCCCCGGGUCGGGAACCACUGGAUUUCCAAGUGCUGCUUACGUAUUGACGCAUCAGUAUUAACAAUCUAAUAUCAUAAAAAAUAAUAUACAACGCAACUUUAUCCCUAAACGUCAGAACAGGUGGUUUGCCAGUGAAAUAGCAAAGUAGCACAGUUGUAGUUCCUCACACCUGGUUAGCGUUGUGAAUUGAAAGUAAACUACUUGGUUAUAUUUAUAACGUAACAAGGAAGUGUGAUUUUGUGUUGUUUUUGCUGGUCACUGUGUGGCAAUAGUGGUUUUGGUACUUUUAUUUGACUAAAGUAACCUGAUAUCUUCCACCACUUCGCCCGUCUUCUCUUCCCUCACGUCUUCAGCCCGACCCCAAACUCACACAGACCAAACUAACAAGAGACCUCAGAACAUUCGAGACAAGGUCUUCAGCCGCCAGUGUCAUUGUUCACUGGCCCUGACAAACCCGGACAGGUGGAGACAUUUCUCCAUCUUCGUCCUGCAGAGGAGAUUCGGAUUGACUCUUUUGUUGCUUUCUCGGUCUUCUUUUUGCGUCUCCCUCUCGUUUGGUCUGAACCUCGACCCAUCGAUCACCAGGCGAGCCAAAUUUGCCGAUUCGACAGGUCCGCUGUGCAACGGCUCCGCGAUGGGAGUGAUGAAUGGCGCCGCUCAGUAAUAAACACAGAAGCUGUGCGAUAAAAGAGCGAUUCCUCUAUCUGCUUUUAAGCGAGCGGCGAGAUUAGUUGAAAGGAGACGGGAUGAGAGGAGAUGAGCUCGCUUAAAAAAAAAAAAAAUCCUCCCCGACUAUAAACGGUCAGAGGCCGCUUCUCACCCAGUUCUUCAAACGCAGCGAGCCCGUGUCAGUGAGGGAGACAAAUCUCUCUGGUAAACCGACGCAUUACUGAUUCUAUCCAUCGCGCCUGGAGGGAAGCCUCAAUGGGAGGGCGUGUUGAUAGCUCGCCCUGCUUUUCGUGGCAAAAUCAAAAGAAGCCGAGAGAACUUGAAAUUCAAUUCCAAAGAGCGAACCCGCCAGCCAUCUUCCAGUCGUGACAAAAGCUGGUGUUUGCUCAGUGGCAAACACCAGGUGGACGGCUCUGAAGGGAACAUAGCUCCUUUUUUUUCUCCAUUGCAGCCUUUUGUUUUGCCUUUCAAUUGUCUGGACACAAGAUAAAUGCUGAUGCUCACGCGGGCACAACCAGCCACUGCAGGUGACAUUCCACUAAAGCUAAAGAUAACUGUGGAGUGUUCGCAAAUUGGUGCUGCUGCUUUAAAAGCUGCGGGUCUUUUAUCAAAUUUAACUAAUUCCACCUGGGUAAAUAAGGGCCGGCCACAUAUUGAUAGAUCAUAAACAAAAUCGAAUGAUUUUGCGGACUGUGAUCUCAUGCCUCGCCUUCUGAGUGCUUGAGACGUGGCAGAAAAAAGGGGGUCUGCGCCUGGAUGAAGAGGUUUUCAGGACGGAGCGACGGAGGGAUGUUGUUGUGGAGGCAAGAUGAGGUCAGAGGGAAAUGGAUCCAUCCAUUAGGGGGUAUAAUGAGAGAGAGCAGCUGCCUGCUGCCGAGUCCGACAGCACACAGAUGUGAGGGAGCCUCGGGGCCCGACCGGGCCGAGGGGGAGCGCUGAAGUCCCCGUGCCAUGACCUCACUCCCACAACCAGUGUGAGCGCCACAACCCGCCAGUGCACAAAGAUCAUCCGUGCCCUCAACUCACCUGAGCAAACCCCUCUGGCUGUUCCCGUGGCUGCUUGGCUAAACUCUGUUCGACCUGGAGGGGCCCGUCAUGCAAAACGUUAACUUCACCUCCGCUGGCCAGCACCAACAGCACAUUCAAAUGUUCUCACGGGUGGGGCUUUUUUUUUUUUUUUUUUAGCAUGUGUAGCGUUAAAUGAGGUGUAGAGUACUUUUCAAAUUCCCUGUGUACCACGAGGUCAAGUUGGUGUCAUUAGUUUAGCUUUCACUUAUUGAUAUUUUGUCCAAAAGAAACGCCGGAAACGUGGGAAACUGAUUUGUGCAGUGAGUGGGGGAAACGAUAAGAGCAACUUAGCGCCGUCUCUCUUUAUAGACCCUUAAAAGGACCUUUUAAGAAAUACACAAACAUUGACUUGCUUCUUGGACUUUCUGUGAUUAAAGGUGCCUAAAUGUGAUUUAUUCAUUAUUUUGUCACCCAUUUGGACAGAACCAGCUGUUACCCCUGGCUCCGGGAUUUAUGCUACGCUAGGCUAAGGUCUUCUGACUGUAGCUUUGUAUUUAAUGUGCAAAAGUUCUUUUCAUUUUCCUAAAUAUUGAAUAAUUCCAUUGAUGGCAUCAGCCUGCUGGUGGUUUAGUCGUUUCAUAAAUGCAGUCAGACUUUGGUGAACCGCCAAAUCACUAUUGUAAUGGCUGCAACUGAAUUGUAUGAGAGGACAUGUGUCGGGCUGAACAAGUGAUGCACAAAAAGGUCCCGCGGUGUAAAAAUGUGAUGUGAAGAUGUUAAUAAACAAACUUUUUAUAUAUCUGACAAAGCCAGAUUAAAGCUACGUUACAGUAAUAGUGAAUUGUGUUACUAGUAAUAGUACAGCAUCAUUUCUAGACUUGUUGUAUUGUAAGCAGUAUACAUAAAAAUACAGUACACAUCUUAGAUGCUGCAGUUCAUUUAUGGUAAAGACAUGCAACACACACCCACAUCUGUUUUUCACACACAAAUGUAAAACAAUCAUAGAUGAUGACAUGCAUGCAUGCACGCACACGUACAACUCGGCAAAACACACAGAUUAAUACGCGUCAGAUUCCUCACCGCUGCAAGUGCUGUACGCUCAGGUGACGACACUUAUUUUUCACACACACACACACACACACGUGAUUCUUGGAGGUGUUGACACACGCCGCCAUUUUUAGAUGGCAGUCGGUGGUGAGUCGAGUGUUGUUGCAGGCCCCUGCUCUCUCUCUCUCUCUCUCUUUCGAUGACAUCCAGCUUAGUCAGUAAAGUGUUCCUGCUUUGUAGUGCAUGUUCCCUUGUAGCUGCAGCGCUCUCCAAACCAACUGGGAGCUUUUCUCGGAGGAGUGAGACUGAGACAGUUGUAGUACUUUAUCUCACCGACAUGGAAGAAGGGAGGAAGACAAAAAUGUGGUCUUUGCCAUGUUCCACGUUUUGAUUCUGAAGUAUUCUAUUGCAUAAAGACCUCCAACAAUGCAUUGUGGCAUUUAAUUAUAUAUUUUUUAAAAUGUUCAUUGUUAUAAGCUGCUGUUGGAUUCAGUUGUUCAUCCCAUAGUAUGUUUCUAUUUACUCAGAUUAACAGAAGGAAUAAUGUUUGCUUUUUAGAGGAAUUUACAAUACGUUGAGGUGUUUGCAGCUUAGUCACACUCAACUAUUGAUAUGAAAUGGUUGUGUGUGUUUGAUCUACUGGCUUUUAUUUAAAACAAAAAAUCCUCACGGUAUGUUGCUCACCCAUUGGAUAAAUAGUUGCGAGGCAACGUUACAAUUCAUAGCAACACAAGAGAGAAACACAAGCUGGGCUAAAAGAAAACCAGAGAGCGCUCUUUGGGUCAUUGGAUUCCUCUGUGUUUACCCUGAGCCUUUUGUGGGAUUGACGCUUCGAUCCCCACCUCCUCCUGGGAGUUUUUUCCACCGUGACAUGUGCAGUGGGGAAACUUAAGCCUCAGCAGAUCUCCCAAACAGGAAUUUUCACUUCUUCUCUCCAUAAUCCCAUAACCCUCAGUGCCUUAAAACCAUGGCGUGCAUGUCUGUGAGUGUGCAUGUGUGUGACAAGUCUAAAUCUUCUCCAAACAGAAAAUCAAUACAACACACUGCAUAGUAAUAGCGCCCAACAAUGGAGGACCGGCAGGCAGCCAGCCAAUCAGCACAGCGCAGGGCUGGGCCAUGGUUAGACAUGCUGCUUUAUGACCUUUCAGGUGAAUUACACAAAGACUCCUGAACAUUUACUUAUUGUUAAGAAUGGAAACCCCCUCCGUUCCUGCCUCUGCUGAGAAGCAAACGUCGAAGAAGCAGGUUGCUGGUGCGAAGGCCACACAAACAGGUGUGGUUUAUCAAGGACCAUUUGAGUCGGCCUAUGCUAACAGUGGGAAUGUUAAAAUAAACCACUGCAAAAAAAUCCAUAUUCCAUGUUUAUAAUGGCUUGGUGCAGGUAUUGUUUGGAGAAGGUGGAAAAAAAUAUGGGAACCUUAAACACGCUGAUUUGAACUGGGAUCAAAUUAAAAAUCCAUCUGAAAAAAUGCUAUAGCCUCCAAAACGACAUCUGGCAGGGUCCAUAUUUUUCUGUAGUUUACAUGUCAAUCUGGGUGAAAUGCACAACAUCAUUGGUAAACAGGUUUAUUUUCAGAGCACACGUGCUAAUCACGCACCUUAACCAAAUCAAAUGGAGUAACAUUUGAUGGAGGUAGUAUUAUAUUUCUGGAUCAGGUCCCUUGAAAAGACAAAUGUGAUUUGGCAAGUGGCACAAGCAAACCCAUCCUUCCCAUUGGCCCGGACUGGCAAACGCCCACUCAGCGGACGCUCAAGGAAAAGCUACGUUUUUCCACCAAUAAAGAUGAAUCACCCUGCUGCUACCAUUAGAUUUAUUCCCCUCCAAGGUCGCCACUGAAGCCUUUAUUGUGAAAGGUGGCCAACAGGCCGGCCUGCGAGAUGGCAGAGAAGAAAUGAGGUGGAAAAGAAACUGCCUUCUUCCUACACAACACACACACACACACACACACACACACACACACAGACACACACACAAUCACACAUAUUAUUCACUAGCACCCACUGCCUUCCAUAUCAUCAUAAGGCUCUAUUCGAAUUACCAAAACAGAUGACAGAGGUUGUUACUAGUCUUUGCAGCAAUAUGUCUUUUAAGUUCAAUCCCUACAUUUGACGUUGAUAACGUGUCGCCCGCCUGUUGCAGGAAUUACGUGGCCAUGAGCAAAACAAAAGAGAGUAAUUGGUUGUUUUCUCGGGAAUGGCUGCUGACAGACACAUUGUGCUUAUGUUAUUUCAAAGUGCAGUAGUUAAAAUAAGUGUGAUACGCUGGUACGAUGCCAAUAUCAGCCCCCGCUGCUUUAUGUCGUGUCAUCCAUCCCAGCUGACUAUGGGAGAGAGCCAGCGCUCACCCUGCUGUAUUGUUUAGAAUGUCAGUUUGCCAUCAAAGACUACAGGGCGCUAGUGGCAUGUACAUGGAUGCAUGUUCAUACAGUAUGUGUCCACAAGCAGACACACACACACACACACACAUCUGUGCAAACAUAAUGGACACCCACACACUCGCCCACACACAUCUACAAAUAUAGAAACAGAUGGCACAGAACAACAAAACACUUUCCUCCCCGGUCUUGCGACUUAGCGGAGGUCCUUUCUGCACUGAUCAAUGAUCCAAUUGAUAUGUUGAGAAGAGAUUAAGAGGCUUUUAGGUCAAAAACAACAUGUUCCACAGUACCUGAGACUGACUUCUGUUGUAGAGGAAUGCCAACAUGCUAUUACCAGGAGAUUACCUGUAAUCUCAUAUUACUUAAAACAGGGUGGAGAGGCUUUCGUGCGAGGCAUUGUAAAAUUGAAUUUAGCUGUCAGCUUGGUUGAAGACUUAUACACAGACUCAUAUUUGCAGAGAAACAUGCCUGCAUUUGCGCCCUGGAACAACAUGCCUGGAACAGCCACAAGACAUGAUUUUCAGCUCAGACUCCAGUGUCAACAGAACUCACACUGAACUCUUGUUAUCUUUUGGGAUAAUAGCGGUUUCUUGCCGAGGGAUCAGUUCAUAAAGAAACGUAUGAUCAUCAAAGUGUUAAACUGUAUUCAUGCAAACACAACAAACUGCAUAAAGUUUACAGCGCAAAUCCAUGCAGAUUAAUUGGCAACAGCGAACCACCAACUGUUCCACAAUAACAGGAGCAAAAAACAUGUAAAGACAGAACAGAAGUGAACAUGAAAACAUUAGUGUGUAUUUAAUUUUCUCUCUCUGUCGCACCUGGAUGAUUGCUAUUUUGUAUUGACCGCACUUCCCUCGGGGUGAGAGGUUUCUUUUUUUUUUGUUCCUGGUGCCGUACAAAAAAAUGAUGAUUAUGACAGCCCACAAAAAAAAAGUAAUUCACACUGUUCAAAGCUGCACCAUGGGAUUACCUCACGUCUAUUGCAUGAAAUAUUUCAAAUGUGACUUUAACCCCCAGCACAGCCAACGAGCCCCAGAGUACCUUUUGAAGAAAGCUUAAAAGAGGUCCGAGACCAGGCCAAAUGAGAUAUGAUGAAAGCAUUGAGCCUUUUGAGACGUAUUUACCUAAAGCACACCUUUAGCAGUCCCUCCUUUCCCGACCGCGGACACUACUCAGCCAUUUUCAACCCGUCAAAUGCUAAAUUGUACACAUUUGAUGAUAUAAUAUCAAUAGUAGCAACGACAUUGGUUGAUUUCACCACAGUGGGGUUUGGUAGAUUAGUUCAUAGGAUUAAACUCUCGUUUGACUGCGCAGCACCUCUCAAACAACAUAGACAGGACAGGUAGCUCCGUCUCCGCGCUACAACAAACUUUCCUCAAAGCUGCAUAGUCAAUAUUUAUCCAAGCAGCCACACAAUGGCUGCUUCUCGGCUCUGAGGUCUGGCAUUUUGAAAGCAAAGCAGCCUGCAGACGUAAACCACAGCCCGGCAGGCACUUGAAGCGACUCAUGUGGUAGGAGAGGUCACAUCAAACUUUCACUAUGCUCGUUUCCCCGGUAAAUUGGAAGACUGUUAGGAGACAAUGAGGAGAAAUGAGGUGGCUGAGGGAAGAGAUGAGUGAGGGAUGAGGAUAAAGUAGCAGGAAGGCUUGUUGGAAAAAAGCCAAGUCUCCCAUGUAUCCCAACGAGCAUUUGGAACAGAUGUUGAUAUGUCAGAAACAACAAUGAAAACAUGUGUAGCAAUAAAAGUAAAGCUGAGACGUCGCUUUUGCGGCUGACGACUUGACUGUAGUGUAAUCCGAUAUCUUCUUUGACAGCGGAGAACAGGUUUCCAAACCUGUUUCAAGACCUGCACUCCCAUGUUUUACCUUUUUCUCUGUGGGCCACAUGUCCACUCGGCCUCCUACAAAGUCAGUGCACCAUUGCGUUGUGUCUGUAAUGCCAACGCAGCGCCGCACGGGCCAACGGGUGUCUCUGACAAGAGAAGCAUGAAUUUGUGACAGGCAUCUCCCCAGACGAGCAUGGGAGGGGGGGAGGGGGGGUUGAUGAACAUGGGAGUGAAGAUGAACAGGGCUGCAGAUGAAAGGGCCCUCAUAGGCAGUGUGGAACAGUGGGUUUCUAUAGGAAGCAUCUGUGUCUGUACAUGCAUACGAGAAUAUGGCUCUAGGUUUUGUACACUAUGUGUGUGUGUGUGCUUGUAAAAAGAAUUAUCAAAGAGAAAAUCUCCUGGUUAUGUCAUUGCUUGGCCUCAAAAACUAGUUUAUGGUACUUGGAUGGAUUGAAAGGUAUGUUUAUCAUAUUAUGACUACAGUUUGUUAACGCUUAUUUGCUUUGUCGGCCAGGCUUGUCUGGGAAGGAAGUAAUGUAUCUCAGAGGGUGAAUACAAUUUAAGAAAUAAAAGACUGUCAUAACAUUGGAGGGGUGUUGCCGCUAAAAAGGUCAAAGAGACACAAGGGCUAACUAAUAACACAAAGCAUCAUGCUGGAGGAGGAUAUAAGGCAGCAAAUCACAUUUUCUUUCCUAUUAUUGGCCAUUAAGUGAUUGGUUUAGUGUUUUUGGAAUUAUUUGAAUAUCUUGACAGGCUUUUACUUUGAUUUUGGCAAUAAGACAAAAAAAGAAGGUCAUAAUAACCCAAUUGUUUUUCAUCCAUCAAGUGAGAGAGUGAAAGAAAAAGACUGUUCCCUUGUAAAUACAUUUUUUCAUGAUGUGUGUCUUGAGUUUGAAAACACCGUCCAGUUUAGAGUUUUGUAAUCCGAGAAUAGAUUUACACUCCGUCCACAAGUGUUUCAAAUAUCAUGACUCUCACUCUCGCAAAGUGGUAAUAACAAAUAUAAAAAGUGCAGUAAAAACUUCCACAUGACCUAAAGCGCUCCAAGUAGUUGUUCCCUAUUUCAUUGCCAAUCAACCAUUCAUACUGUAUGUGUGAAAUAAUGUUAUGUUAUAUGAUUUAGUAUAUUUAUCAAAAAGGAGUUAAUUGGCAUGCAGAUAACAGACUGAAGUUGUUAAUAUUCAAUCUUAUCUUCAGCUGUACUCUUAGGGUUGUCUAUGUCAGCAACUCGCCGUCUUAUCAGCAAAGGUGAAUCUUGUAAUGAUUGUAAUGAUGAAAAUUGUCUAUAACAACAUCAGAAACUUCUCUCUCUCUGAUGUAGCAUUUAAUACUAUUAAUAUGUUAUUAAAUAUGUCAUAAUAGUUGUAGUACUUGCACUCAUGUACUCACUAUUCUAGUAUGUUACAGAGUAGAAGUGCACACGGGUAAUAAGAGAAAAAAAGGGUGUUCAAGAUCUUAAUAGAUAAAUAAAACUGUAGAUUCCCUUCAAAUCAACCUAGAUUGUAUUAAAAAAAAGUCAGCUGACCCAUAUUUGAGGGUGUUUAUGACCACAAUGUAGAAAAGUCCACCUUUUCUUCCUCCGUGGGCAUGUCCUGAGUAUGAUAGUUCAUCAAGCAGACAAGUGAAAACACAGAGAAGUGUGUGUUUCCUCCCAACGCCUGGAGCUUUUAGUCUGACCUUCUCCCCUCCCGCCAUCUCCCUCUCACCUUCUCCCUCUCCCUCUUCUGCCCCGGGGCACCGGCGGGUGGGUCUUCGGCAGGGUCCCCUGGCAUCACCCGUACCUCGGGCUUGAAAAAGAAACAAAAAAAAGCCCCAAAAGAAUGAUGGCUAGCCUUGACUUUGUUGAGACAGUGCUCGGGCCAGUAGAAAUGACGUAAAUAUCAAUGGCGGUGGUCUCAAAAAAACCCAUUAGUCAAGGUCUGCGGCUCGUUGUCGGAGCAUCAGCACGGAAUCGCCCCGAGGUUCGCAACGCCACCACUGUCCUUGUAGCCGAGCGAAAAUAAAGCAACCCGAGCCAGGCAUAAAUCAUUGGGAACAUUUGUUACCUCGGGUAAUUGUGCUUCAUUCAUCUUCAGGCCUUUUUCCAUUUGUCAACUCCCAGAGGCUGCCGGGUGUCAGCUGGGCAGGUCUGUGCUGUUAGUCUGACUGCGCCGAGCCAGAGGUGCAGGACAGGAGGCGUGAAGGAAACAGUGAAUCACAACGCAGCAGAGGGAAACUGCACAAGGCCGCAAUUGUGAUCUACUGGCGGUUCUGUUGGUGCAUCUGUCUGGACAAGUGCACAUGGUUUUAGUAAAUUUUACAGAUAGUACACAUUGCUGAUGCAAAACACAUCACGCUAAAGGAGGGCUGUGCUAAUGUAGCAUAAUGUAAAUAACUAGCACAUGGGAAAUCUGCAAUUUCUACAUACGAUAUUUAAUGCCAUUGGAAUUGACUAAUUUGUGUGAUUUUUUGCUGAUUACUUGUUUUUAUCACUUUUAAAACUUUGGUUCGGUCUGUUUUACUAUUUAUUUAUUUAGCUUUACUUUAAACACGCAAGAAAAACUACUACAACAUCAGUAUGCUAACAUGCUCACAAUGGCAAUGCUAACGGGGUGACGUUUAGUACAGUUAAGGUUUAUAAGAAUGUCCUCAGUUUUGAGGGUUUUUUCAUAAAUGGACUAAUUAAAAGUUUGAUCAGACCUUUCAUUGGGUAAAGUUGACCUUUAAAAAAUAGGAAUAGAACAAAAUGAAUAUUUUACCAAACAAACUAAAAGUGCCGUCUAACGCUGCCUAAAAACUGAGCCCAUACGAAUUGUGGUUGAAGCUAAAAGAGAGUUAGAACGGGCUGAAAGAAGCUGAAGCAACACAGACUAGUGGUGUGUUAAUGUAUUGUGAUCUGCUCUUUAGGAAGGAAUCUAUUAACACCAAUUGUAACCACACUGCCUUGGAACCUGCUCCAGCUGUUAGCACCCUGACACCUCCAUUCACCUUAGUGACACACGCGUCUUUAACACACCGUUGUCGAGAACGCACGUGGACGCACACCCUCUGUGACACCGCUCAACAAAAGACUAUUUGUUAAGCACGUUGGAGAUAAUGUCUUUAAAAGGAAGUAGCAGAGCAAGAGAGCACAAUGCCAUCUGAAUAAAAAGUAAAGAGAGGGUGGAAAGAAACGGAAAAGAGAGACCUAUUACAAAGAGUGCAAAAGCAUCUUUUCCACCAUAAAUGAUACAUUGCCUCUUUGACAUUGUUUGUAGUCUCUGUAAUUCUUUCUGAAUCUGAAAACCAGGCUACAUCAUUAAAGUGAAAGUAUAGCAAUUUAGUGCCCCAAACCUAAAGCUAACAGUUCAGAGUUACAAAGGUGUACAAUGUGCGUGAUAUCGCUCCUACUCUUGCAGUGGUACUUCAGCAACACCCGUAGCACAAGUCAAAGGUAGUCAGAUUUACGUGUUUACACUGAUCCAAGGUUAGGCAGGAUAAAUUGUUGCUUUUCAAUUUGGAUGAAAAGAAUGUAUUUGCCUCACAGGGAUUUAUAACAGCAUUUUACAUCCUCUUUUCUUUAGAGGUAACAUGCAGCGAGAUACUGCUAUGUGGGAAUAUACAUUUGCAUAAUAUGCUCUUGCCUGAGGUGUAUUGAGAACUAAAUUGCUUUUGACUUUUUAAAAAGUCAAAAUCUAGACAAUUUAAUCCUAAUAAUUACCAAAAGCUCCAAAAGGGCUGGCUCCUUAUGUUCCCAUAAUGCAGCUCAAUCCCAUCUCCCACCCGGCUCGCUGUGUGUGUUGGAGCUUUUAUGUUCAACAAAUGAGGCCUCUAAAGCCAAACGGAGAUGACAUCAUCAUCAGGGUUAGUUCCUAGGACUUGACAAGCUCUUUCAGGGCCACAGAACAGAUAACUGUUUUCGCAUUUUCCUCACUGACAGGAGAACUACAUCUAGAUUUGUCAGGGUGUUACGCUCAGCCACAUUUCCCUCAAAACGAUUAACGGAGGCUUCACAUAUUCACUCAUUUAGCAGACACAAUUAGAACGGAUGCAAUUGAAAUGGGGAAUCGCGGAGAAGCGAAGAAGAACUGCAGAGGGCGGGUUCCGAGUGUUUUCAGCUCCUCUAAGGGCCUCCGCUCACGAGUGGCUGGGUGGCUGCUGACAGGUGAGGAUGUCUUUUAUCAACAGGUGUUGGGAAGCCGGCGAAGAUACGAGUCAAGAUAACGCAGGCAAGCAGCACAAAUGAUCCAGGAAGAGAGCGAGAAAAGGAUGGAGCGAAAACCGCAGACACCACAGCCACAUUCUCAGCCUGCAAACACCCUUUCACCACUUCCAGUGUCACCUCCCACACACACACACACACACACACACUUAUCUCGCCCGAAUCUGAAGGAGGCGGAUGCUCUGAGGAUCCACACGUUGCCAGCUGGAGCAUAAUUAGUAGAAGACCUGCAGCCAGCCGUUGCCCAAGCUCACUUACGCACGUUCGGUUCUAAAACAAACAAGCAGCGAACUAAGACAAACAGGGAGAAUGCCCUGAGCCAAAGCCUGCCUCUUAUCGGAGGCUCCUCGCACACUUCUCCCCCGUGACAAACUCUAUAUAUGGAAUUUCAUUGCGUGCUGAUUAGACUUUUUUUCAUGAUGUAGUUUGAUUGUUCGAGAUUUGUGCAUUUUUAAAAAGAAUGGACCCUUGAAUUUGACGUUGAAGGAGAAAUACUGUGUUUCAAAGGGCAGGAUGGAAAGGUCCCGACAGAGAACAAAGCUUCCUGUCUGCGCUGCCGGACGGGCACCGUCACUGUCGUGAGAUGUCCAAGCUGGCUUCAGUCCAGGCAACACGGUCCCCAGAGAAACAGGGCUAUCUGUUGGUGUGCAGGUAGCUAAAGGGGGGAGGUGGGGGGGAGGCCGGGGAUCAGCAUCCUGCUUCUAAACCUGGAAGAGGAAACUAAUCCGGGGUCAAAGAGGGCUGUGGUGUUGAGUGAAACCUCACAUGAGGACGUGGGUAUUUAGAAAAAGUAUUCCCGUCUCUCUAACUCCACCUUCUUCAUUAAAACCCUGCACCUGGGCCCGAGUCUGAUCCAUGGGAAACCCCCUCAUGGCCAUCGCCAGUCUGGCCCCUAAAUCUGUCCCCAGCCCCUUGUUCACUCCUCACUUAUCCUCCUCCUUCCUCCCUUUUUGCGACCCUUUCUGCCAUUUUGGGUCAAGCUCAGGGGCACAAUAUUAAGCGAAUGCCGAAAGAAAUGGGAUGGGAUGGGAUUAGGGAGAUAACGGAAGGCCAGAGUUAGGUUUGGUUUCCGGCGAGAGAAAAAAAAUAGAAACUCAGACAUCUGAUCGGUCCGGUUGCUCUCACAAUUAAUAAUGGGUUGCAAUCGGGGAUAUUUUCAAUGCCGUUCCUCGGUUUCAGGAUGCCGGCUGCCAGUUGUCAUACAGGGUCAUCGGGGUGAAACCUGUCCGGACCCAGCUAGCACCUGAUAAAAGCCUCAGUGGGUGCUUAUUUUACACACAAACACACACAUACACACGUACAUGAUUAUAGACUCACCAGCGGGAAAGACAAGCAAAUCCCGACGCCUUUUAACCCGUGGGUUCAUUCAAGUAUGUUAAAUAUGGCUUUCAUCAUUCUAAUGUAGAUUUCAAACAUUUUUUUUGUGUUAUUUGGACAGGACCAUUAAGGGCAUAUAAAGUUGGAUCGUUUAUUAGAUUUUUCCGGGAUGCAACAUUUAGGUAAGUCUUCUUUUCUGACUUUGCUGGUUUACCGACUGUUAAUCAUUAAAACUGCAAGAAUGUGUAUCACACCUGCUUGUGCAGGAAAACAAUACAAAACUGGAAAGUAAGCAUUAAAGCGUAGCUGCCCGAAACUCCACCUUCAGUUGCAUUUGCAGUAACUGUGGCAUGUUGCCUUCUAAUAAAAAGGUGAUUUGAUCCCAAGCUCCUGCUGUCUGCAUGUCAAAGUUUCCUUGGGCGAGACAAUAAUAAUUAAGUGAUUUACGGAGGUACAUACUCAACGUUCUUCGUUUCACACGGGACCCAAACAGCGCUUCACAGGGGGAAAGUCCUGUGUUUGCUUCUCCAACCGACUCCAUCCACAGACUCUUCAUGGCCACUAGAGGCAGCCUCACAUGUACAAAACUGACGGCAACAUUGUAUGUGGAAAAUCAUUGUUUGAUGCAAAGGGCCACUCACCAACCUACUUGAUACAUUUUUUGCUGUGAAGUCAGAGUUACAAUCUGUUGUUAGGAUAAAAGCAUCUGCUACAUCUGAAAUUUCAUUGUUUCCGAGGUGUGGAUUUGUUAUUUGGGCAAUUGGGUGAAUGUUUUAUAACUAUCAUUCCUGCAAGUUUGUCCCCAGGCCAAUUCCAUAAGUCCUGCCAAAAGUGUGUUUACACCAAGAACCAUUCUCACUGCUUAGCUCUGUACAGGCAGCUGAGCCAGCUGUGGCAUCAUACAGCUGCUCCAGCCACAGGUUUUAUUGAGAACGUUUUAACUGCCAAUCAAGUGAAUAUGUUGCAUGCAAAGUGUUGGUUCUCUUGGUGCCUAUGGCUCCUGAAGGCAACACAGUUGAGGAAGGUUGUCAGUCUUCUUCCAUGCUGUCACUCAUGAUGCCGAUGAUGAGGAUGCCCCCCUCAGCUAAUGAUACCCCCUAAUAACAGAUCACGGCAAAAAGAAAAAAUACAAUCAGAAUUUUUUUUUUAUUUGAAUAUGUAAAUAUUACAUUUUUUAAAAAGCUCACCCAGACAAGACAUUUAAUUUUAUCUCAGUGUGUUGUCCGAUGAAGGGUGUUUUUCUAUAAUAUCAUAAAGGUUGUUGUCUCUUCAGCAAGGAAAGAAUACCGCACCAUUUUCUUCUUACAGUUUUUAGGAGAUAGCUAAACUUAUUUUUUGUAUUAUUAUUUGUAUUUAUUCACCUUUUUAUUUUAUAAAGGAGCUUGAAUAACCAACCAAACAUCCCAUUUCAUGUCUUUUUUAUUGUUUUAAAUACAUUGAUUUGUUUGUCUGUUGAAGCACUUUGAGUUGUAUUUCAUGUUAUAAAAGGUGCUUCUUCAUAUUACAUGAAACUAACUUUGCACACAACUAUUGAAAACUAAAUAGCUUCUUCAAACUAUGGAAAAGAAAACAGAAGUAACAUUAACCGUAAGUCGGCCCACGGGAUCUCCUCUCGGCCCCGACCGGCCUGCCGGCCCUCCAGAGCCCUUCUGUUGAUCACAUCCUCUCCGGUGGUGCUGCAGACACGCACACUCACACUCACACACACACACACACAAACAAAUCUGCACCCACAGCUCAUGCAAACACUACAGUUUGUCUCUCGAACCGAAGCAGGCUCAGAUUUCAGGCCUUGUGGUCUCCAAAAUAUAUAUCGAAGUACACAUCAGGCUAUGUGUCACUAAUGUUUACAGCAAAGUGAUUUAUGAGGCUUUUUGGGGAGAAGAAGGAAGUGUGAUACGGUUGGAAUGAGUUUCAGAGAGAAGCGAAGAGGAGGUCAAGCUACUGUGGCCAUUCAAUAUUACCAGAAAAUACAUUGAGGAUUGUUUAUCAGGGAGAAAAAGAGAAUAUAUAGUAUUUCAUGUAAAUCAUGACAUAUAAUGACAUCAAAGAACCAUCAGAGUCUAGACAGUUUUUUUGGCUUGUGGUUUGUUGAAUGUUUAAGCUGAGCGUAAUGCUUGUGCAAAUGCCAGGCUUAACUGCAGGAAAAAAUAAAUAGUUUUAAAUAAAAAUGUUGUCAAAUAAGUAAAGAUCAAUUUUCCUUUUUGCCAUCUUCGUAUGACAGGCUCUUCCUGUUGGACUUCACGUGAGCAACAAGUCCAACUGGAAAGGUUCUGUUUAAUUUAGUGAACACAUGGACACGUCACAGUGUACUCUGACAACAGGGACAUCUUAUGGCAAAUACGGCAAUAACACGGCUUAGCUUAACAAAUACAAAGGCGAGUCUCUUUUCACAUGUCAUAUAUUAGGUCUAAGCCUUUUGACAAUCAAACUCAGGCUAAAUAAAUAGUUACAACAGCAUUAAUAGUUUGUACAAUGGUGAUCUUUUUUUGAUGCAUCCAUUAAGGCUUAAAGCUUGACGAAAAUAGGUUAUGUUUAGCUUUCAAGGUGACACAACAAAAGUGUUUUUUUGCAUUCCAGUUCAAGUUUUAUAGCUGGCAGUAACAAUAUACGUAGGUAUAUUUGACUGGGAUGUUACAACAUUCAUGUGUUCUCCAUAUGCGUUACCUUUGUUAUCAAUGCACAGGACCAACAUUACCAGUUGGACCCAUUUGGAUUCAAGCUGUAGGGAACACAGAAUGUAGUGUUUGUAAGAUUUGAAUUUCAUCUUGUUGGUAAUUGAAAUGUUGCAUCAGGUCCCUCAGUAAUAUGUUGGUAUGACAUCUGCCCCAUCAGGACCAUUUUCCCCAUAUCUAUUUCCCUUUAGCGAUUGAAGCAAUUUUGAUUUUAAUAAUCUGUUUGAUGGGGGUCGAACUGCGAGCAGAACAAUAAAUGCCACAUGUGCCUUUGCUGAAGCUACAAACCACAUGAAAAGAAAAGAGGUGGGGGCACCAAUUCAAUCCAGAUAUGUCCAGAUUCAAACAUUCAGCGGAAGGUGGCCUGGGCUGAAACACCAAACGACCACCCCAAAGUCACCCUGCGGUCUCCCUGAAGACAAAUGGACCCCCGAAGUAUGAAGGCAACGCGGAAUAAUAGAUCUAGUUACGGUGAUAUACAUAACAGCUCGGUCUUGCUCUGUGUUUCAGCUUUAAUAAUGGUUGAGUUGCACACUGCCUUCUCCCAAGUAUGCAUGGAAUUUCCACCAAGAAAAACUCAAGCAAAGAAAAAAAAGAAAACAAUGAAUCUAUAGUUCGUUGUGUGCUUUGGCAAAACAAGAAUGGUCUCCCUUUUUUAGCGUGUGAGACGGGGAAGGAGGUAUAAGGGUGGGAGUGUGGUGUUUAUUGGUUUCUGCCAAGCCAGUCAGAGAAGCAAACACAAGCAGAGUGAAACCUGAUCGACUGGCACUGUGCCUGGACCGGCGGCGCGCGGCGCAGCGUCAGGGGAAAAACACUGACAAACAUAUACAAGCACGGGGCCCGGGACUCCAAAUAAUCAGAAGAUGAGCAGGUCAGAUAACAAAUGCCCCAAACACACCAGUAAAUGAAGACAAACCCAACAAAUGCCUCAUAGCUUUCUGGACGGGACGGAGAACAGGAGCGCUGUGGAUGUUUGUGAAAGUCAGAUCCAGGAUGACUUCAAGUGUCUCGGAGUUUUCCGAUUGAAGUUUACUAACUCCAUCCCCUUAAUCCCAUCCCACUUCACACACACACACACUCUCCAGGCCAGCAGGAAAAUCCCUCUGUGGCGAGGCAUUUCGUUUUAACUUGAUAUGCUUGUGAAUCACCCCCAGUGCUGCAGUGCUGCUCCACUAAUGAACACAGGGCCCACAGACGGAGCUGUCCAUGCCUUGCUACGCUCCUGGAUCGCACUGGAAAACAGGAUCCAGCUGCCCACCACCCUGUCAUUACAGGAAGAAAAAAAAAAAAAUCCCAGAACACCCUCUGCUUGCCCCUUGGACUCGUUUCAUCCCCUGACCGCAUCUCAUACUCACCCAUCAGACCCUCCUGCUGCUAACCUUGGUCUGGACUCAACCCCUGUGACCUGCCUUAAUCUUCAAACCUGCAGCUGUACUAAUAAUCUGCAUCACACAUUAUUCAUUUCAUGUCCCAAUCACUUGUUUUAAUAUUAACACGCCGUCCUUGCCUUCAGCUUGUACACACAUCUCUGCAAUACUCCGCAUUUGUUUGAUUAAUCUUUGCACUGGAUGACAUCAUUCCCUGAAGUUCAUCUCGUUUACAUGUGACGCGGGUUUGUGACCUCAGCUUGAGACCAGCUCUGCUUUCACCCAAUAUUACUGAUGGUUGUGUGUAUUUUUGUUUGCACUGUGCACACUGUAGUGAAAGUGAUAAAUCUCCAGCGACAGUCUUGGAUCCAUAUCAGUGCCAGACACCAGCAUAAAUACGAGCGUGCUGUUGACACUGUAUGGAAGUGUGUGGAAGACGGGAGGGGGAUUCAGGAGGGUUGCCAUGGAAUUUCCAUCUGAUAAGCUCAUCAAAGCAUAGAGCUUGUGAUGCGUGAGUCUUGUCAGUGGGAGGGCAUGGGAAACGGCACAUGUAUGCGCAAAGGGGUGGACAAAAGGCACACACAUGCCCAGCUGAUACCAGCAUCAGGGUAAAGCCAGGCCGUGUCUAAUACGCGGAGUACAAAGUAAACACGGCGCUGUGGCAUCAGGGCUUUCCGCUUUCUGGCAAACCAUGUGACUCAAAACAAGCCCGCGGCCAAAAAGAAUUUGUGGAGUGCAGGGCGGGGCCCGGGACACAGGAUGAGCCAUAAAAUCCAAGUGUGCACAGUCAUAGACACACACCACGGUAACAAGAGUCGACUAGAUAUGAUUGCUUUGUUGUACUGUCAACAGCAGUUAGGGUAGAAGUACGGCAAAUUGAUUUACCGAAGGCAAACGGAGAAUCGGAAAAGGCUGCACGUUGGCGCUUGCUGCCACCUUUUAAAGUGAAGCAGCGAUUGCUUUAAAACUCUAGAAACAAUUUGCAUUCUUUGAGAUGUUGGUCAUUUUUACCUAAACAGAUCAAAAUUGCAAAUUAUCUCCAGAGUUUAUUUUCUUCUUUUUCAUGUCCACAACUAGCGUGAUUGGAUGUUGUGUUCGAAGUGCUGCCAAACCCAGGCAACCUUCACUUUAACGCAACCUAUGAAGACACAGACGCAUUGUUCAGACUGUUUAUUCCAAGACCCUUAUCCGUAAAAAUGCCUGGUAUGCCCCCCAAAAAGCCCAUUGUCAUACAUUUACACACUCUCCAUGCAACAAAUGAAAGCACAUAUAAGUAAGUAGCAUGCAAAAUGACGUUGCAGCUGGAAUAUCUCUUAUUCUUCCACGGUGAAGGCAUGAGCUGGUUAUCUAACCGACAUCAGUCCUCACACCAAAACCGAACCCACCCAACCGCAGCAGGCAACAAGUAACAAGAGUGGCGGGUCAUGACUUUGUCAGUGGCAAACAAAAGGUCAGAUGGCGUCAUUCUGCAUAAUAAUUAGCCAUGUGCUUGUUUGCACAUAGAUGUCCUUCAGUACGUCGUUCGUUUGUUUUAGGGGUUCUGCAAAUUCUUGCAAUGGAUAAAACAACGGACAUUUCCCCAAACGUAGCUGCCGCUCUACUCCUGGAGCUUUUGACCAUGUCACAUGAUCUUCAUUGGCUCCAUUGUACCCCAUCAAAGGGCUUGAGAUGUACUGGGAGCCCUGGUUCUUCACUUGUGCAGCAAAGAGCAUCUUGUUUUCCUGUUUGUUGAUGUGUCAAGAGCAAAGAUCUCACUGCGGCUGCUGUGUUGUUUUGACGAUGAGCCUGUGUGUGCGUGUGUGCGUGCGUGCGCGCGCGUGUGUGUGUGUGUGUGUGUGUGUGUGUGUGUGUGUGUGUGUGGCAGGCAGGCGGGUUUACAGACUCCCCUGCUGGCUUGUAGUUGUAGACACAAUAAACCAUCAAACAUGGCAAAGGGGGAUGUGACCCCCCCCCCCCCUCCCCCCAUACACACAAACACACACACACACAAAUCCUGCGGUCUAAAAUGUUUCACAAAUCAUGUUAACGAAUAUCCCCAGCUGAAUCUUGUGGUUUUCCACUCCUGACUACAAGGAGCCGUGUGCUUUUGUUGUGGCCGCGGAAAUUCAAGAUGAUCCCCCCCCUGGAUGAAAGCAACAUGUGAAAGAUAUUUGUAACCAUACAGAAAGGCCAAUUGGUAUUAAUGGUGCGGCGUGCAGUAGAGGCCUCGAGAAGUGUGUGUUUGUGUGCGGGUGGGAGUGAGGUAGCAUGUUUGGUCUGGGUCAGACACACUUGUUUCCCAGUAGGAUGGAUCUGUUGAGGGCCACAGGGCAAGGAGCAGACAGAUUCAUCAGAGUCGUCAUCUCAGGGUGUCCGGUAACCCCGAGUGCAGCGCCGCAGCUGCCAGGCCUGCAGAGGCAGCAGUGAUGGGCUCCAGGUGGACGGACGGUGCAGCUUCAGCGAUGCAGAGCUCGUACGUGCACAUCGCACACGUAUGUACAAAAUGUACAUCGUGCAGACAGUCAAGGUACAACAAUUUUCUUCUCCAUCAUUCGUGGUGUAAAUACAUGUAAUUAUAAACUACCUAAAACAUUUACGCUGAGAUUGACAUGUUUUUCACUUAGAAUAGUUGAUAUUUCUAUCAAGCAUUACAUAAUCACACUUAAGGCACAGUUCAUCUCAGAGAGUAGAUUACAGUACUUUGUACCUGAUUCAUGACUAUUGUUGGUAAUAUAGAUAGUGUAGGUGUUGCAGGGAGAAUAUGAGCCGUUCAAAGUAUAAUCACAAUGUAACGUUUUAGUCUGAAGUGCAGGAGAGAAGAAAUAUAUUAAAUUUCUUAUGCAACGCAAAAAUUUGUUUUUGAUAUGAGGGUUGUUAGUUUUGAAAACAAUAAUAAAGCUGAUGUAAACCCAAUGCCUCAGCUGGAAAUCCACCAGAGGAGCCUUGACUUGAAUCUUGAACCUGGAACAGAAAAAGUUGAUCUUCUUUCUUCUCUGUGUAAACUAACAUUUAUUGGAUUAGCUUUGUAGAUGUAGUACGAUAUAUUCCUGAACUUAACGAAGUAGGUUUGUUGACUAAACCUAAAUUUCCUGUGAGGUCAGAAGUAUAUUUUGAAAAAGAGGAGUACUUCUACUUUUAGAUACUGGCACCCUAUUACAGAACUAUUACUUGCCACUGAAUAAGGAAAAGAGACGCAUCAUUUAGAAGAUAACUACUAUUAUUAUAAUUGAUUAUGAUAAUUAAAUCAUGAUUAGUGCAGUUUGUCAGCUGCCAGGAUACCAUUGUGACAUUAGAAUAAUGAUCCAACCUUAAGAAUUCUCAACGGUAUCCUGAGCGAUUUAGCCAGAUUAAGGAUGUGUACACCUUUUUUUUUCACUGUGUAGUUUUUAUUAUCUAUAUUUAAUUAAUAAUAAAGUGGUUGCUUCUGACAACUGUGCUUGCAUGACAUGGCACGUGGCCGAAAGCGGGCAGCGCGACGCUCCGUUCUUCCUGUCCUGCCCUGAGCAGGUGCUGAGAGGAGGCUCGUUGGUGUGAAUGUGAUCAUUGUGCUCUUAAGCUUGUCUUUGCUCGGGACAAGGCUUCGGAGAGUGACGGGUAGUGAAACGUAGGCACCGGGAGCCAUGUGGAGGAUGAGGCCAAAAAAAACAGAUUCUAACGACAACUUUGUAUUAUUCUGCAAAUAUCCCUUUGUCUCCAAUAACAUCUGCUCCUGGACUGCAGUUUGAGAAGAAUUGACAUGUGACAAGCAAAAUUAAUGUUGUCACCUUAAAAACCAUAAAAAAACAGAACAUAGAUAUGUUAACUUAAUGUUUGUUGCUGUUUGUCACAGUGACAUUUGCAGAUCCGCGCUCGGGCUCUUGGCAGCUGAACACACUGAGACGGUUCUACUCAGCGGAGGAAAACGUGCACUGACAUGUCGUCCUGAUACGAACACAACUGCAGCGCUAAUUCAAUUCCAGCUUGUGUUCCUUCCCUUAACCAGGCCGCAUUUGUAGAUCGGCUGCUGUGUGUGGGAGCGAAGCCCGAAAGGUGGGGGGAGAGGAUGUGCGUGAGUGCAAGAGAAAUUCAGAGAAAAAGAGAGAGAACGUGGGAUCCUGAUCUCACUGGGACUUACUCAGUCCCAACUGUAAUAGGAAACCAACGGGACAAAGAGGGGCUGUACAGUGCCGAGCCUUAGCUCGGCCAGAAGGUCCACCCACAACAUGUUGUCAAGCCACGAGGAAUUUAUUACUAAUGUUGGUCAGCUGUAACGACGAGGGGCGGGGGAGCUUUUUUUUUUUUCCCAGCGCGGGGAGGAAAAAAAAAAAAGAGAAAUCAUUAAUUAUGUACACCGCCACCCUUGAUCGUUCGCUGUUUAUCUCUGAAGCGUGCGUUUCCAUUCCGACUGAGUCUCUUCAGCCAGCGUGUCCAUUUAUAAAGCUGGUGGCUUAGCAGCGGGGUCAUGCACUGACCCGGCCAUUGACAGCCAAUGGUCUGAAGGAUUGGAGGUGGAGAAGGCAGAACAAAGCAGACAUGGCAGCAGCAUAUGUGCUGUCAUCUAAACCUUGGCCUUCACAUUGGCCAUGGGCCUCUUUCUCCAUGGGAAAAGGGUCUUGGGGGCCAAAACGACUCAUAAGUGAUUAUAGAAGAGAAUGUAAAGGCACGAGAGCUGAACUGUCGAAAUGACUACUGUGCAGUAGUGAUGAGGAGAACGACGGGCACGUCAGUGUCCAGACCUUAAAGAACGACAUGGACGUGUUGUUUCAGGUACCAUCGGCGUGAUGAAAUUCAUCGGAAUAAAUGAGUGAGGGUGAGAAGAACAUCAAUUUAAAAAGGUCUUUAGAUGCCAAGACAAAUAUUAUGAGAAAGAAUUCUUUGGAAGUGUUUCACCUGACAAUGAUUUUAUCUUUUCACGGCUAUUGGAGUCUUACUACUCUACGUAGCGUAAACUGCAGGAAUGUUGUAUUGUAUUAUAUGGUGGACCAAGUGUGGCAAAAUGUUACGCCGUGUUGAACUUGUUCACUGGAUAAACAUGUUAGUGCAGUGCUUUGGCUACAGCAAAAACAGCAGUCAGAAAAAGUGGGAUUUUUUCUUUUUUUAAAACCCUGUAUUUUAAAUCCAAAUUGUGUAGUAUUAUAUUUUGUCAUUUUUAACCUCUGCUUCAACCUUUGUGAUGAGGACAUCUGGCUCACAUCAGCUAUGGGCUGCUGCUAAACCUGACCAGACCAAAGCUAAUUAAUACUCAUGUUCUAAAUAUUGGAUUUAUGAGUUUCCAUCAGGAAACUCAUAAACUCAUACUGGAAGUUUAAUUUAAUAGCAGGAUGGAGUCAGCUGAUGAUUCAUUCAAUCCUUUGUAUGCAGCUCAAACCGUAAUAUCCAUGCUGCUCACUUGAAAUCUUCUAGUUCAACUGUGAGAAAUCUUCUCAAACUGACGGGUGCACGUUUUUCUGAAUCACCAUCAAACUGGAUUUGACAGCCUCAUCGUUGCUCUGCAUCGAUACAACAGUUAUUGGCCACACCGUUGUAAGCUCUGUGAAUGUUUAUAUAAAGUAACUGAGCACUUGUAAGUCCUUGUGGGUCUCUUUUUUUGAUAGCAUUAUCCAGAUUAGGUUGGGUUUUUUUAAACAUCAUGUGCAAUGUAGUCACUAUUAUUACGAUUAUAUUACAAUUUGGUGUGUUCAUUUCUUGAAUCCCUCACUGGAAAUCGGUCCAAUUGUGUUGAGAGAUGUAUGGAUUCUGGAGAGCACAGAACAACAGAUGCUUAUCAGCAUCCAUGGAGCCCUAACCAGCACUCGUGUAUAAAAUACACUAAUAAUGAGAUAUCAGCAACUGCACUGUGGAGUAUCCUCCUCAUUUUACUGCAAAUAUUCAACCACCUGUCACAUUAGACAUCAAAUAUGUACACACAAUAUCAGCUGCUUCUCUUUGAAUUAAAUGCUAAAUCAAAAUGAGCCUACAGGGGACCACAUGAGAACAGCAGCACGUCGCACCGCGAUAAGAGGAAUUC